UAGAAGUUUUAWUCAUGGCUCAGGAUGAACGCUGGCGGCGUGCCUAAUACAUGCAAGUCGAGCGAACGGACGAGAAGCUUGCUUCUCUGAUGUUAGCGGCGGACGGGUGAGUAACACGUGGAUAACCUACCUAUAAGACUGGGAUAACUUCGGGAAACCGGAGCUAAUACCGGAUAAUAUUUUGAACCGCAUGGUUCAAAAGUGAAAGACGGUCUUGCUGUCACUUAUAGAUGGAUCCGCGCUGCAUUAGCUAGUUGGUAAGGUAACGGCUUACCAAGGCAACGAUGCAUAGCCGACCUGAGAGGGUGAUCGGCCACACUGGAACUGAGACACGGUCCAGACUCCUACGGGAGGCAGCAGUAGGGAAUCUUCCGCAAUGGGCGAAAGCCUGACGGAGCAACGCCGCGUGAGUGAUGAARGUCUUCGGAUCGUAAAACUCUGUUAUUAGGGAAGAACAUAUGUGUAAGUAACUGUGCACAUCUUGACGGUACCUAAUCAGAAAGCCACGGCUAACUACGUGCCAGCAGCCGCGGUAAUACGUAGGUGGCAAGCGUUAUCCGGAAUUAUUGGGCGUAAAGCGCGCGUAGGCGGUUUUUUAAGUCUGAUGUGAAAGCCCACGGCUCAACCGUGGAGGGUCAUUGGAAACUGGAAAACUUGAGUGCAGAAGAGGAAAGUGGAAUUCCAUGUGUAGCGGUGAAAUGCGCAGAGAUAUGGAGGAACACCAGUGGCGAAGGCGACUUUCUGGUCUGUAACUGACGCUGAUGUGCGAAAGCGUGGGGAUCAAACAGGAUUAGAUACCCUGGUAGUCCACGCCGUAAACGAUGAGUGCUAAGUGUUAGGGGGUUUCCGCCCCUUAGUGCUGCAGCUAACGCAUUAAGCACUCCCGCCCUGGGGG
RNAcentral lists this ribosomal RNA (895 nucleotides) under Staphylococcus aureus. Its description in RNAcentral is "bacterial SSU rRNA". Lineage: Bacteria; Bacillati; Bacillota; Bacilli; Caryophanales; Staphylococcaceae. The record is from RNAcentral.